RNAcentral lists this transfer RNA (89 nucleotides) under Erysiphe necator (grape powdery mildew). It matches the Rfam family "tRNA". Rfam says of the family: Transfer RNA (tRNA) molecules are approximately 80 nucleotides in length. Their secondary structure includes four short double-helical elements and three loops (D, anti-codon, and T loops). The record is from Rfam by way of RNAcentral. Lineage: Eukaryota; Fungi; Ascomycota; Leotiomycetes; Helotiales; Erysiphaceae.
GCCUCUUUGGCGCAGUGGUAACGCGUAGCACUUGUAUUCCUAAUGAAUAAUCAAUGCUAAGAUCACAGGUUCGAUUCCUGUAGGAGGCA